GACGAACGCUGGCGGCGUGCUUAACACAUGCAAGUCGAACGAUGAAGCCGGAGCUUGCUCUGGUGAAUUAGUGGCGAACGGGUGAGUAACACGUGAGUAACCUGCCCUUGACUCUGGGAUAACUGCGGGAAACGGUAGCUAAUACUGGAUACGACCUACGAAGGCAUCUUCUGUAGGUGGAAAGAAUUUCGGUUCGGGAUGGACUCGCGGCCUAUCAGCUUGUUGGUGAGGUAAUGGCUCACCAAGGCGACGACGGGUAGCCGGCCUGAGAGGGUGACCGGCCACACGGGGACGGAGACACGGCCCAGACUCAUACGGGAGGCAGCAGUGGGGAAUAGUGCACAAUGGGCGCAAGCCUGAUGCAGCAACGCCGCGUGAGGGAUGACGGCCUUCGGGUUGUAAACCUCUUUUAGUAGGGAAGAAGCGAAAGUGACGGUACCUGCAGAAAAAGCACCGGCUAACUACGUGCCAGCCGCCGCGGUAA
RNAcentral lists this ribosomal RNA (484 nucleotides) under uncultured bacterium. RNAcentral's name for it is "partial 16S ribosomal RNA". It matches the Rfam family "Bacterial small subunit ribosomal RNA", at positions 28 to 523 of the family's 1533-position model. The record is from RNAcentral.